GCGUAACAAGGUUUCCGUAGGUGAACCUGCGGAAGGAUCAUUACUGAGUGAGGGCCCUCUGGGUCCAACCUCCCACCCGUGUUUAUUGUACCUUGUUGCUUCGGUGCGCCCGCCUCACGGCCGCCGGGGGGCUUCUGCCCCCGGGUCCGCGCGCACCGGAGACACCAUUGAACUCUGUCUGAAGAUUGCAGUCUGAGCAUAAACUAAAUAAGUUAAAACUUUCAACAACGGAUCUCUUGGUUCCGGCAUCGAUGAAGAACGCAGCGAAAUGCGAUAACUAAUGUGAAUUGCAGAAUUCAGUGAAUCAUCGAGUCUUUGAACGCACAUUGCGCCCCCUGGUAUUCCGGGGGGCAUGCCUGUCCGAGCGUCAUUGCUGCCCUCAAGCACGGCUUGUGUGUUGGGCUCCGUCCCCCCGGGGACGGGUCCGAAAGGCAGCGGCGGCACCGAGUCCGGUCCUCGAGCGUAUGGGGCUUUGUCACCCGCUCUGUAGGCCCGGCCGGCGCCAGCCGACAACCAAU
This 518-nucleotide ribosomal RNA is filed under the name Penicillium sp. FL-2014c. RNAcentral describes it as "eukaryotic LSU rRNA". The stretch from base 217 to 370 matches the Rfam family "5.8S ribosomal RNA". Lineage: Eukaryota; Fungi; Ascomycota; Eurotiomycetes; Eurotiales; Aspergillaceae. The record is from RNAcentral.